GAUGAACGCUGGCGGCGUGCCUAAUACAUGCAAGUCGAGCGAAUAGAUUAAGAGCUUGCUCUUAUGAAGUUAGCGGCGGACGGGUGAGUAACACGUGGGUAACCUGCCCAUAAGACUGGGAUAACUCCGGGAAACCGGGGCUAAUACCGGAUAACAUUUUGAACCGCAUGGUUCGAACUUGAAAGGCGGCUUUGGCUGUCACUUAUGGAUGGACCCGCGUCGCAUUAUAGAGUUGGUGAGGUAACGGCUCACCAAGGCAACGAUGCGUAGCCGACCUGGGAGGGUGAUCGGCCACACUGGGACGGAGACACGGCCCAGACUCCUACGGGAGGCAGCAGUAGGGAAUCUUCCGCAAUGGACGAAAGUCUGACGGAGCAACGCCGCGUGAGUGAUGAAGGCUUUCGGGUCGUAAAACUCUGUUGUUAGGGAAGAACAAGUGCUAGUUGAAUAAGCUGGCACCUUGACGGUACCUAACCAGAAAGCCACGGCUAACUACGUGCCAGCCGCCGCAGUAA
This 515-nucleotide ribosomal RNA is filed under the name uncultured bacterium. Its description in RNAcentral is "partial 16S ribosomal RNA". It matches the Rfam family "Bacterial small subunit ribosomal RNA", at positions 28 to 523 of the family's 1533-position model. The record is from RNAcentral.